Molecule: ribosomal RNA, 572 nt
Filed under: uncultured bacterium
Lineage: Bacteria
Description: bacterial SSU rRNA
Rfam family: Bacterial small subunit ribosomal RNA
Source: RNAcentral
ACGGGUGAGGAACACGUAGGAACCUGCCCUUAAGCGGGGGACAACCAAGGGAAACUUUGGCUAAUACCGCAUAAACUCGCAAGAGCAAAGCUGCCCGCAAGGGUGGCACUUAAGGAGGGGCCUGCGUCCGAUUAGCUAGUUGGUGAGGUAAAGGCUCACCAAGGCGAUGAUCGGUAACUGGUCUGAGAGGACGGCCAGUCACACUGGGACUGAGACACGGCCCAGACUCCUACGGGAGGCAGCAGUGGGGAAUAUUGGACAAUGGGGGCAACCCUGAUCCAGCGAUGCCGCGUGGGUGAAGAAGGCCUUAGGGUUGUAAAGCCCUUUAGGUUGGGACGAAGUGUAGUAGUUGAUAAUGCUAUUGCAUUGACGGUACCAACAGAAUAAGCACCGGCAAACUCUGUGCCAGCAGCCGCGGUAAUACAGAGGGUGCAAGCGUUAAUCGGAGUUACUGGGCGUAAAGGGCGCGUAGGCGGUGAGAUGAGUGUGAUGUGAAAGCCCCGGGCUUAACCUGGGAAGUGCAUCGCAAACGAUCUGACUGGAGUAUAAGAGAGGGUGGCGGAAUUUCCGGU